AGUGAACGCUGGCGGUAGGCCUAACACAUGCAAGUCGAACGGCAGCACAGUAAGAGCUUGCUCUUACGGGUGGCGAGUGGCGGACGGGUGAGGAAUACAUCGGAAUCUACUUUUUCGUGGGGGAUAACGUAGGGAAACUUACGCUAAUACCGCAUACGACCUACGGGUGAAAGCAGGGGAUCUUCGGACCUUGCGCGAUUGAAUGAGACGAUGUCGGAUUAGCUAGUUGGCGGGGUAAAGGCCCACCAAGGCGACGAUCCGUAGCUGGUCUGAGAGGAUGAUCAGCCACACUGGAACUGAGACACGGUCCAGACUCCUACGGGAGGCAGCAGUGGGGAAUAUUGGACAAUGGGCGCAAGCCUGAUCCAGCCAUACCGCGUGAGUGAAGAAGGCCUUCGGGUCGUAAAGCCCUUUUGUUGGGAAAGAAAAGCAGCAGGUUAAUACCCCGCUGUUCUGACGGUACCCAAAGAAUAAGCACCGGCUAACCUCGUG
This 492-nucleotide ribosomal RNA is filed under the name uncultured bacterium. RNAcentral's name for it is "partial 16S ribosomal RNA". It matches the Rfam family "Bacterial small subunit ribosomal RNA", at positions 29 to 507 of the family's 1533-position model. The record is from RNAcentral.